AUGUUUUUUGUGAAAUAAAAAGACUUUAUAAAAAAAAAAUCUGUUCUUAUCAGUUUAAUAUCUGAUACGUUCCCUAUCUGGGGACCAUACAUUAAAUGGAUUUUUGAGAACAGGGGCCGAUUUCGAAGCUUGCUUCCGUCGCCCCCUAUGCAUUGAACCGAUAUGGCAGUAUCUUUGGGUACAGUGCACCACCC
Small nuclear RNA from Hyla sarda, 194 nucleotides. RefSeq annotates it as U2 spliceosomal RNA. The transcript has a single exon. NCBI's taxonomy places the organism in Eukaryota, Metazoa, Chordata, Amphibia, Anura, Hylidae. The record is from RefSeq and is a predicted model, not a curated record.